AUACAGGGGGUGCGAGCGUUAAUCGGAAUUACUGGGCGUAAAGAGUACGUAGGCGGUUGCUUAAGUCAGAUGUGAAAGCCCCGGGCUCAACCUGGGAACUGCAUUUGAAACUGAGUGACUAGAGUUUAAGAGAGGGGAGUAGAAUUCCGGGUGUAGCGGUGUAAUGCGUAGAGAUCCGGAGGAAUACCAGUGGCGAAGGCGGCUCCCUGGCUUAAAACUGACGGUGAGGUACGAAAGCGUGGGUAGCAAACAGGAUUAGAUACCCGUGUAGUCC
This 274-nucleotide ribosomal RNA is filed under the name uncultured bacterium. RNAcentral describes it as "partial 16S ribosomal RNA". It matches the Rfam family "Bacterial small subunit ribosomal RNA", at positions 523 to 796 of the family's 1533-position model. The record is from RNAcentral.